RNAcentral lists this long non-coding RNA (3642 nucleotides) under Citrus x clementina. RNAcentral's name for it is "Citrus clementina (C. clementina) long non-coding RNA (CCLE_LNC002229)". Lineage: Eukaryota; Viridiplantae; Streptophyta; Magnoliopsida; Sapindales; Rutaceae. The record is from RNAcentral.
AGCCCACCCGUUUUUUGGCCAUUUUUCCGCUGGGGGGUCUUGGGACCCCGACCUUCGGGGGCUGAUUUUUGGGCGCGGCUGUGCCCGUGGCCUAUUUUUCGCACACAGAGGCCGCCCGCCAAGUAUGGUGCCAUUCCGAGUCCCGCGGACGAACUUCGCCCACACCCCCCACCAAGGCUAUAGCCCACCCGUUUUUUGGCCAUUUUUCCGCUGGGGGGUCUUGGGACCCCGACCUUCGGGGGAUGAUUUUUGGGCGCGGCUGUGCCCGUGGCCUAUUUUUGGCACACGGAGGCCGCCCGCCAAGUCAGGGGCCAUUCCGAGUCCCGCGGACGAACUUCGCCCACGCCGCCCACCAAGGCUAUAGCCCACCCGUUUUUUGGCCAUUUUUCCGCUGGGGGAUCUUGGGACCCCGACCUUCGGGGGCUGAUUUUUGGGCGCGGCUGUGCCCGUGGCCUAUUUUUGGCACACAGAGGCCGCCCGCCAAGUAUGGUGCCAUUCCGAGUCCCGCGGAUGAACUUCGCCCACGCCGCCCACCAAGGCUAUAGCCCACCCGUUUUUUGGCCAUUUUUCCGCUGGGGGGUCUUGGGACCCCGACCUUCGGGUGCUGAUUUUAGGGCGCGGCUGUGCCCGUGGCCUAUUUUUGGCACACAGAGGCCGCCCGCCAAGUAUGGUGCCAUUCCGAGUCCCGCGGACGAACUUCGCCCACGCCGCCCACCAAGGCUAUAGCCCACCCGUUUUUUGGCCAUUUUUCCGCUGGGGGGUCUUGGGACCCCGACCUUCGGGUGCUGAUUUUUGGGCGCGGCUGUGCCCGUGGCCUAUUUUUUGGCACACAGAGGGCCGCCCGCCAAGUCAGGGUGCCAUUCCGAGUCCCGCGGACGAAGUUCGCCCACGCCCCCCACCAAGGCUAUAGCCCACCCGUUUUUUGGCCAUUUUUCCGCUGGGGGGUCUUGGGACCCCGACCUUCGGGGGCUGAUUUUUGGGCGCGGCUGUGCCCGUGGCCUAUUUUUGGCACACGGAGGCCGCCCGCCAAGUCAGGGGCCAUUCCGAGUCCCGCGGACGAAGUUCGCCCACGCCCCCCACCAAGGCUAUAGCCCACCCGUUUUUUGGCCAUUUUUCCGCUGGGGGGUCUUGGGACCCCAACCUUCGGGGGCUGAUUUUUGAGCGCGGCUGUGCCCGUGGCCUAUUUUUGGCACACGGAGGCCGCCCGCCAAGACAGGGGCCAUUCCGAGUCCCGCGGACGAACUUCGCCCACGCCGCCCACCAAGGCUAUAGCCCACCCGUUUUUUGGCCAUUUUUCCGCUUGGGGGUCUUGGGACCCCGACCUUCGGGGGCUGAUUUUUGAGCGCGGCUGUGCCCGUGGCCUAUUUUUGGUACACGGAGGCCGCCCGCCAAGUCUGGUGCCAUUCCGAGUCCCGCGGACGAACUUCGCCCACGCCGCCCACCAAGGCUAUAGCCCACCCGUUUUUUGACCAUUUUUCCGCUGGGGGGUCUUGGGACCCCGACCUUCGGGGGCUGAUUUUUGGGCGCGGCUGUGCCCGUGGCCUAUUUUUGGCACACAGAGGCCGCCCGCCAAGUAUGGUGCCAUUCCGAGUCCCGCGGACGAACUUCGCCCACGCCCCCCACCAAGGCUAUAGCCCACCCGUUUUUUGGCCAUUUUUCCGCUGGGGGGUCUUGGGACCCCGACCUUCGGGGGCUGAUUUUUGGGCGCGGCUGUGCCCGUGGCCUAUUUUUGGCACACAGAGGCCGCCCGCCAAGUAUGGUGCCAUUCCGAGUCCCGCGGACGAACUUCGCCCACGCCGCCCACCAAGGCUAUAGCCCACCCGUUUUUUGGCCAUUUUUCCGCUGGGGGGUCUUGGGACCCCGACCUUCGGGGGCUGAUUUUUGGGCGCGGCUGUGCCCGUGGCCUAUUUUUGGCACACGGAGGCCGCCCGCCAAGUCAGGGGCCAUUCCGAGUCCCGCGGACGAAGUUCGCCCACGCCCCACACCAAGGCCAUAGCCCACCCGUUUUUUGGCCAUUUUUCCGCUGGGGGGUCUUGGGACCCCGACCUUCGGGGGCUGAUUUUUGGGCGCGGCUGUACCCGUGGCCCAGUUUUGGCACACGGAGGCCGCCCGCCAAGUCAGGGGCCAUUCCGAGUCCCGCGGAUGAAGUUCGCCCACGCCCCCCACCAAGGCUAUAGCCCACCCGUUUUUUGGCCAUUUUUCCACUGGGGGGUCUUGGGACCCCGACCUUCGGGGGCUGAUUUUUGUACGCGGCUGUGCCCGUGGCCUAUUUUUGGCACACAGAGGCCGCCCGCCAAGUAUGGUGCCAUUCCGAGUCCCGCGGACGAACUUCGCCCACGCCCCCCACCAAGGAUAUAGCCCACCCGUUUUUUGGCCAUUUUUCCGCUGGGGGGUCUUGGGACCCCGACCUUCAGGGGCUGAUUUUUGGGCGCGGCUGUGCCCGUGGCCUAUUUUUGGCACACGGAGGCCGCCCGCCAAGUCAGGGGCCAUUCCGAGUCCCGCGGACGAAGUUCGCCCACGCCCCCCACCAAGGCUAUAGCCAACCCGUUUUUUGGCCAUUUUUCCGCUGGGGGGUCUUGGGACCCCGACCUUCGGGGGCUGAUUUUUGGGCGCGGCUGUGCCCGUGGCCUAUUUUUGGCACACAGAGGCCGCCCGCCAAGUAUGGUGCCAUUCCGAGUCCCGCGGACGAACUUCGCCCACGCCGCCCACCAAGGCUAUAGCCCACCCGUUUUUUGGCCAUUUUUCCGCUGGGGGGUCAUGGGACCCCGACCUUCGGGGGCUGAUUUUUGGGCGCGGCUGUGCCCGUGGCCUAUUUUUGGCACACAGAGGCCGCCCGCCAAGUAUGGUGCCAUUCCGAGUCCCGCGGACGAACUUCGCCCACGCCCCCCACCAAGGCUAUAGCCCACCCGUUUUUUGGCCAUUUUUCCGCUGGGGGGUCUUGGGACCCCGACCUUCGGGGGCUGAUAUUUGGGCGCGGCUGUGCCCGUGGCCCAGUUUUGGCACACGGAGGCCGCCCGCCAAGUCGGGGGCCAUUCCGAGUCCCGCGGAUGAAGUUCGCCCACGCCCCCCACCAAGGCUAUAGCCCACCCGUUUUUUGGCCAUUUUUCCGCUGGGUGGUCUUGGGACCCCGACCUUCGGGGGCUGAUUUUUGGGCGCGGCUGUGCCCGUGGCCUAUUUUUGGCACACAGAGGCCGCCCGCCAAGUAUGGUGCCAUUCCGAGUCCCGCGGACGAACUUCGCCCACGCCGCCCACCAAUUCUAUAGCCCACCCGUUUUUUGGCCAUUUUUCCGCUGGGGGGUCUUGGGACCCCGACCUUCGGGGGCUGAUUUUUGGGCGCGGCUGUGCCCGUGGCCUAUUUUUGGCACACGGAGGCCGCCCGCCAAGUCAGGGGCCAUUCCGAGUCCCGCGGACGAAGUUCGCCCACGCCGUCCACCAAGGCUAUAGCCCACCCGUUUUUUGGCCAUUUUUCCACUGGGGGGUCUUGGGACACCGACUUUCGGGUGCUGAUUUUUGGGCGCGGCUGUGCCCGUGGCCUAUUUUUGGCACACAGAGGCCGCCCACCAAGUAUGGUGCCAUUCCGAGUCCCGCGGACGAACUUCGCCCACGCCCCCCACCAAGGCUAUAGCCCACCCGUUUUUUGGC